This 441-nucleotide ribosomal RNA is filed under the name uncultured bacterium. RNAcentral describes it as "partial 16S ribosomal RNA". It matches the Rfam family "Bacterial small subunit ribosomal RNA", at positions 338 to 795 of the family's 1533-position model. The record is from RNAcentral.
CCUACGGGAGGCAGCAGUGGGGAAUAUUGCACAAUGGGGGAAACCCUGAUGCAGCGACGCCGCGUGGGCGAGGAAGUACCUCGGUAUGUAAAGCCCUAUCAGCAGGGAAGAAACAGGACAGUACCUGACUAAGAAGCCCCGGCUAACUACGUGCCAGCAGCCGCGGUAAUACGUAGGGGGCAAGCGUUAUCCGGAUUCACUGGGCGUAAAGGGAGCGCAGGCGGCAUGGCAAGUCUGAUGGGAAAACCCGGGGCCCAACCCCGGGAGUGCAUUGGAAACUGCCAGGCGGGAGGGUCGGAGGGGUAAGCGGAAUUCCUAGUGUAGCGGUGAAAUGCGUAGAUAUUAGGAGGAACACCAGUGGCGAAGGCGGCUUACUGGACGACUACUGACGCUGAGGCUCGAAAGCGUGGGGAGCAAACAGGAUUAGAUACCCCAGUAGUC